RNAcentral lists this ribosomal RNA (497 nucleotides) under uncultured bacterium. RNAcentral's name for it is "partial 16S ribosomal RNA". It matches the Rfam family "Bacterial small subunit ribosomal RNA", at positions 28 to 507 of the family's 1533-position model. The record is from RNAcentral.
GACGAACGCUGGCGGCGUGCCUAAUACAUGCAAGUAGAACGCUGAAGAGAUGAGCUUGCUCUUCUUUGGUGAGUUGCGAACGUGUGAGUAACGCGUAGGUAACCUGCCUGGUAGCGGGGGAUAACUAGUGGAAACGAUAUCUAAUACCGCAUAACCAUGGAUGACACAUUUCGUGUAUUUGAAAUGGGCAAUUGCUCGACUACAAGAUGGACUUGCGUUGUAUUAGCUAGUAGGUGGGGUAAUGGCGCACCUAGGCGACGAUACAUAGCCGACCUGAGAGGGUGAUCGGCCACACUGGGACUGAGACACGGCCCAGACUCCUACGGGAGGCAGCAGUAGGGAAUCUUCGGCAAUGGGGGCAAACCUGACCGAGAAACGCCGCGUGAGUGAAGAAGGUUGUCGGAUCGUAAAGCUCUGUUGUAAGUCAAGAACGGGUGUGAGAGUGGAAAGUUCACACUGUGACGGUAGCUUACAAGAAAGGGACGGCUAACUACGUG